GACGACAUCUCCUCCAGCGUCUCUUCAUUUUAUGGCGCGAGCGUUUGCUCGGCCGACGUCGGUUUCCUGUGCUGAAUACCUAUUGCGAUGGCAUUGUGUCGGCUACGUUUGUUCCCUUCCCACCUUGUUCCGCUGCUCCACGUGGGCGUGCGGUGCGGGGCGGGCCAAAUCGCACGCGUCGUGUGUCGCACCGUGUUCGUCCCCUGGGGCGUUCGGGUUGUCGACCCACGACGUGUUGCUCGGUCUCUCGGGUACGGUGCAUCAUGUGGGUACGAGGCCGUCGGCCUCCGAGCACCACAAUCAAGCGUUCUACGCUUCGUGCGAACGACCGUCGGUUCGGUCUUUGGCCGUGCUCUCGUAGCUCGGUCACGUCGGGCCGCCGUCGAUAAGGAAUGCUACCUGUUUAUUCUUGAA
Molecule: unclassified non-coding RNA, 414 nt
Filed under: Salvia miltiorrhiza (redroot sage)
Lineage: Eukaryota; Viridiplantae; Streptophyta; Magnoliopsida; Lamiales; Lamiaceae
Description: partial external transcribed spacer
Source: RNAcentral